UUUUGCAACAUUGCUGAGCAUGCGUAGAACUCACGUUGGAAAUUCAACGUGAUCAAUUCGAUUUCUCCAGAGCUAUGCCCACCCUUAACCUGCGAACGGGCAUGCUCGGGGAACGAGAUUGGUAAGCAAUCGGGUUUGCGAUCAUUCUCGAGCAUGCGUACUAACUUUUGGCGCCAUUAUCGAACGUUAGCCGUUGGGAUUUGCUUCGACGAGGGAUACGGAUAAAAUACAAGCGUAAAACCUCGUUUGUUGCAGUAUA
Non-coding RNA from Paramuricea clavata, 259 nucleotides. The record is from the annotation of a GenBank genome assembly. NCBI's taxonomy places the organism in Eukaryota, Metazoa, Cnidaria, Anthozoa, Malacalcyonacea, Plexauridae.